CGAACCCGUUGACGUUGAAAAGUCUUGGGAUGACCUGUGGGUAGGGGUGAAAGGCCAAUCAAGCUCGGAAAUAGCUCGUACUCCCCGAAAUGCAUUUAGGUGCAGCGUGUUAUUAGUUUCAUAGAGGUAGAGCUACUGAUUGGAUGCGGGGGCUUCACCGCCUACCAAUUCCUGACAAACUCCGAAUGCUAUGAAAUGAUGUAACGCAGUGAGGGCAUGGGUGCUAAGGUCCAUGUCCGAGAGGGAAAGAACCCGGACCAUCGGCUAAGGUCCCCAAAUAUAUGCUAAGUUGACAAAACGCGGUGGAACUGCAUUGACAGCCAGGAUGUUGGCUUGGAAGCAGCCAUUCAUUUAAAGAGUGCGUAACAGCUCACUGGUCGAGCGGUUCCGCAUGGAUAAUGAUCGGGCAUAAGCAUAUUACCGAAGCCAUGGCUUUGUAUUUAUACAAGGGGUAGGGGAGCAUUGUAGUUGCGUUGAAGGUGUACCUGCGAGGGAUGCUGGAGCGGCUACAAACGAAAAUGUAGGCAUAAGUAACGAUAAUGCGGGCGAGAAACCCGCACGCCGAAAGACCAAGGUUUCCCCAGCUAUGCUAAUCAGCUGGGGGUCAGUCGGGACCUAACGCGAACCCGAAAGGGGCAGUGGAUGGACAACGGGUUAAUAUUCCCGUACCCGCCCGCGCUAAAAGUGACGGAGGCGAGAAUUUGGUGCGUGCAGACGGAAUUGCACGUUGAAGGGAGCGGUAACGCCCCGAUAGUACACCGAGGCUACGGCCAAGGUGAUAAUCCAGAGUAUCGACUUCCAAGAAAAGCAAGCGAGGCGGCCCGUACCGUAAACCGACACAGGUGGUCGGGAUGAGUAUUCUAAGGCGCUCGAGAGAUUCAUGGCUAAGGAACUAGGCAAAAUAGACCCGUAACUUCGGGAGAAGGGUCGCCCCCUUAUGGGGGGCCGCAGUGAAGAGGUCCAGGCGACUGUUUAUCAAAAACACAGGGCUCUGCAAAUUCGAGAGAAGAAGUAUAGGGCCUGACACCUGCCCGGUGCCGGAAGGUUAAGGGGAGACGUCAUUCCUUCGGGGAGAAGCGUUGAACUGAAGCCCCGGUAAACGGCGGCCGUAACAAUAACGGUCCUAAGGUAGCGAAAUUCCUUGUCGGGUAAGUUCCGACUCGCACGAAAGGUGUAAUGAUU
Molecule: ribosomal RNA, 1182 nt
Filed under: Florenciella parvula
Lineage: Eukaryota; Dictyochophyceae; Florenciellales
Description: partial Bacterial large subunit ribosomal RNA
Rfam family: Bacterial large subunit ribosomal RNA
Source: RNAcentral